This 482-nucleotide ribosomal RNA is filed under the name uncultured bacterium. RNAcentral's name for it is "bacterial SSU rRNA". It matches the Rfam family "Bacterial small subunit ribosomal RNA", at positions 30 to 504 of the family's 1533-position model. The record is from RNAcentral.
UGAACGCUGGCGGCAUGCCUAACACAUGCAAGUCGAACGGUAACGCGGAGAGCUUGCUCUCUGGCGACGAGUGGCGGACGGGUGAGUAAUGCAUAGGAAUCUGCCUGGUAGUGGGGGACAACAUGUGGAAACGCAUGCUAAUACCGCAUACGCCCUACGGGGGAAAGCGGGGGUCUUCGGACCUCGCGCUAUCAGAUGAGCCUAUGUCAGAUUAGCUAGUUGGUAGGGUAAAGGCCUACCAAGGCGACGAUCUGUAGCUGGUUUGAGAGAAUGAUCAGCCACACUGGGACUGAGACACGGCCCAGACUCCUACGGGAGGCAGCAGUGGGGAAUAUUGCACAAUGGGCGCAAGCCUGAUGCAGCAAUGCCGCGUGUGUGAAGAAGGCCUGCGGGUUGUAAAGCACUUUCAGUAGGGAGGAAAAGUUAACGGUUAAUACCCGUUAACCCUGACGUUACCUACAGAAGAAGCACCGGCUAACUCC